Molecule: long non-coding RNA, 1081 nt
Organism: Gorilla gorilla gorilla (western lowland gorilla)
Lineage: Eukaryota; Metazoa; Chordata; Mammalia; Primates; Hominidae
Exons: 8
Source: RefSeq, a predicted model, not a curated record
ACUCGGGGAACAACCCCGCAUCCCCCGCGCGUCCAGUGCCGCAGUGAGGGGUGGGCGUUGAGCGGGGUUGGCUGGGAGUGGGAGCAGAAGACUUUACUGGAGGAGGAGAUAUAAAUCGGAGCAAACCUCUAGAGCUGAUACUGAUGCCCUGUUUGCCAAGCUUUGAGGCUGGUUAUUUAUUUCCUAAAAGUUGGCCUUGAAUCAUUUAUGAUGAUGAUGACUGAGGACCAUUUAUAACCUACUUAGUCACAGGGGCUGAAAAAACACUACCCACGAUGCUCGAUUUAAUCUUCAUAAAAGCCCUAUAAUCCCUAAGUUCUUCCUGGAAGAUUUAAGAUGUUAUUGAACAGACACAUCGUGAGAGUCCGUUGCUUCCUGAGGUUUGAAGUUUUAUGGAAUCAACUCAGAAUCAGGAAAGUCUGAGAAACUGUCAAGUCAAGAGGAGCCUAAAGAGACAUGACAACUGCAUAUAAUGGACUAACCAAGAUGAGAUCCUGGAACAGAAAAGAGAUGAGGAACUCCAGCCCAGCAGGAGGUAGAGAGGCAAUAGCUUGUCCAUAGGCUGCCCCAUCAGCAUUGCAUCAUAAUCUCACUCACUCCAGAUUCACUGGAAGCUCUGAUUUGUCUGCCACACCAGUGUUUCAGAAGGGCUGGUUCGUGACAUUUCUCUGAUCCUCCUGCUUUCUCUUUUGGAUUCUCAUUGUCUCACAAAUCUUACAACUGGAUCUGCCUGGGAACAAAGAAAGAGCCCCGUUGCAUUAAGGGCUGCUGGCCAGAUCCCGCAAUAACUAGGAACUAUGCAGACCACAUCUAGGACAAUCAGUUCCUUAACGGUGGAUACCAUAUCUUUGAAUUCAUUUCUAUCUGGGUGCCAAUAUCAUCAAAGGAGCUACAUGUCAUCUUGAACGAGUUUUGGGAAGGAAGGCCAGCCAAUGUCAGAAGUUGUUUGAAUGAAAAGCUGAGACUUUUCAAAGUUGCCUGCAAUCAUACGCUGACUCAAUGAAUAAAGACAUCUAAACCAGAUUGAAUCAUGCAUUAUCAAUGCUGAAAGACAACCUACAACAAAAUGUCUUUAUUAGGA